This 305-nucleotide ribosomal RNA is filed under the name uncultured bacterium. Its description in RNAcentral is "bacterial SSU rRNA". It matches the Rfam family "Bacterial small subunit ribosomal RNA", at positions 333 to 640 of the family's 1533-position model. The record is from RNAcentral.
GUGUGCCUACGGGGGACAGCAGUGGGGAAUAUUGCACAAUGGGGGAAACCCUGAUGCAGCGACGCCGCGUGAGUGAAGAAGUAUCUCGGUACGUAAAGCUCUAUCAGCAGGGAAGAAAAAAAGUCUUUGGCUUUGGACGGUACCUGACUAAGAAGCCCCGGCUAACUACGUGCCAGCAGCCGCGGUAAUACGUAGGGGGCAAGCGUUAUCCGGAUUUACUGGGUGUAAAGGGAGCGUAGACGGCAGCGCAAGUCUGGAGUGAAAUGCCGGGGCUCAACACCGGAACUGCUUUGGAAACUGGGCAG